CAGCAGCCGCGGUAAUACAGAGGGUGCGAGCGUUAAUCGGAUUUACUGGGCGUAAAGCGUGCGUAGGCGGCUUCUUAAGUCGGAUGUGAAAUCCCUGAGCUUAACUUAGGAAUUGCAUUCGAUACUGGGAAGCUAGAGUAUGGGAGAGGAUGGUAGAAUUCCAGGUGUAGCGGUGAAAUGCGUAGAGAUCUGGAGGAAUACCGAUGGCGAAGGCAGCCAUCUGGCCUAAUACUGACGCUGAGGUACGAAAGCAUGGGGAGCAAACAGGAUUAGAUACCCCGGUAGUCCCUGUCCCUUAUAC
Molecule: ribosomal RNA, 301 nt
Filed under: uncultured bacterium
Lineage: Bacteria
Description: partial 16S ribosomal RNA
Rfam family: Bacterial small subunit ribosomal RNA
Source: RNAcentral